RNAcentral lists this ribosomal RNA (478 nucleotides) under uncultured bacterium. RNAcentral's name for it is "partial 16S ribosomal RNA". It matches the Rfam family "Bacterial small subunit ribosomal RNA", at positions 28 to 523 of the family's 1533-position model. The record is from RNAcentral.
GACGAACGCUGGCGGCGUGCUUAACACAUGCAAGUCGAACGGUAAGGCCCUUCGGGGUACACGAGUGGCGAACGGGUGAGUAACACGUGGGUGAUCUGCCCUGCACUUCGGGAUAAGCCUGGGAAACUGGGUCUAAUACCGGAUAGGACCACUGCCUGCAUGGGUGGUGGUGGAAAGCUUUUGCGGUGUGGGAUGUGCCCGCGGCCUAUCAGCUUGUUGGUGGGGUGAUGGCCUACCAAGGCGACGACGGGUAGCCGGCCUGAGAGGGUGACCGGCCACACUGGGACUGAGAUACGGCCCAGACGCCUACGGGGGGCAGCAGUGGGGAAUAUUGCACAAUGGGCGCAAGCCUGAUGCAGCGACGCCGCGUGAGGGAUGACGGCCUUCGGGUUGUAAACCUCUUUCAGCACCGACGAAGCGCAAGUGACGGUAGGUGCAGAAGAAGGACCGGCCAACUACGUGCCAGCCGCCGCCGUAA